This 198-nucleotide ribosomal RNA is filed under the name uncultured bacterium. RNAcentral describes it as "partial 16S ribosomal RNA". It matches the Rfam family "Bacterial small subunit ribosomal RNA", at positions 328 to 539 of the family's 1533-position model. The record is from RNAcentral.
ACGCUCGACACCUACGAGAGGCAGCAGUGGGGAAUAUUGCACAAUGGGGGAAACCCUGAUGCAGCGACGCCGCGUGAGCGAAGAAGUAUUUCGGUAUGUAAAGCUCUAUCAGCAGGGAAGAAACUGACGGUACCUGACUAAGAAGCACCGGCUAAAUACGUGCCAGCAGCCGUGGUAAUCUGAGCGGGCUGGCAAGGC